GCAGGACUUCUGAUCGAGAUUCAUGGGCUCAUGUGGAUGACUCCUAGAGAUCGGAUGCAUGUGCAGUUUGCAACAUCAUCCUCAAGCCCGGAUGAGUAAGGUUAGAACAUCUAACUUGCAAGGUAAUAGAUCUGAUCUAUUGUUUAAUACAUACAUUAGAUGUAGUAUAGAAACAUGUUGAUAUGAUCAACAUGUAGUUUAUGCUCUAUAUAUUUUAAUUUUUGAUUUAAUGCUAUGUAAUAAUCAUAUAAUAGAAUAUUAUAUCUAGAGAUU
RNAcentral lists this long non-coding RNA (273 nucleotides) under Elaeis guineensis (African oil palm). Its description in RNAcentral is "long non-coding RNA (EGUI_LNC073014)". The record is from RNAcentral. Lineage: Eukaryota; Viridiplantae; Streptophyta; Magnoliopsida; Arecales; Arecaceae.